This 91-nucleotide ribosomal RNA is filed under the name Escherichia coli O157:H7 str. K5449. Its description in RNAcentral is "partial 16S ribosomal RNA". It matches the Rfam family "Bacterial small subunit ribosomal RNA", at positions 1 to 85 of the family's 1533-position model. Lineage: Bacteria; Pseudomonadati; Pseudomonadota; Gammaproteobacteria; Enterobacterales; Enterobacteriaceae. The record is from RNAcentral.
UUAAAUUGAAGAGUUUGAUCAUGGCUCAGAUUGAACGCUGGCGGCAGGCCUAACCCAUGCAAGUCGAACGGUAACAGGAAGAAGCUUGCUU